RNAcentral lists this ribosomal RNA (440 nucleotides) under uncultured bacterium. RNAcentral describes it as "partial 16S ribosomal RNA". It matches the Rfam family "Bacterial small subunit ribosomal RNA", at positions 338 to 795 of the family's 1533-position model. The record is from RNAcentral.
CCUACGGGUGGCAGCAGUGGGGGAUAUUGCACAAUGGGGGGAACCCUGAUGCAGCGACGCCGCGUGGGCGAAGAAGCGCCUCGGCGCGUAAAGCCCUGUCAGCAGGGAAGAAAAUGACGGUACCUGAAGAAGAAGUCCCGGCUAACUACGUGCCAGCAGCCGCGGUAAUACGUAGGGGGCAAGCGUUAUCCGGAUAUACUGGGAGUAAAGGGGUCGGAGGCGGCGAUGCAAGCCAGGAGUGAAAGCCCGGGGCCCAACCCCUGGACGGCUCUUGGUACUGGGUAGCUGGAGUGCAGGAGGGGCAAGCGGAAUUCCUGGUGUAGCGGUGAAAUGCGUAGAUAUCAGGAGGAACACCGGUGGCGAAGGCGGCCUGCUGGACUGCAACUGACGUUGAGGCCCGAAAGCGUGGGGAGCAAACAGGAUUAGAUACCCGUGUAGUC